CUCUCUAAAGAGCUUAUCAAUGUACACAGGUGCAGGCUUCUUGUGGAACCCCAAGAUCAAACUUCUGACUGAGGCUAACCUUUUGUGGCGAAGAAAACGUUUGGUAACAAUGAACUUAGGAGGUGCCUUGGAGGUAGCAAGUUUGGUGGUAGGUUUUGAAUGCUUUCUGGGUUUCUUCAUGGCUUUGGAUUUGGACUUACUUAGUUUACCAAUUGUAGAAGUGAAGCUCUUCCAUGCCUUUCUAGCAGGUCGAAGCCUUAGCCUUAGCUUUAGGCUUAUGCAGGAUUUCAUGAUUGGAGAGGAGAGAGCAAUGCUUCAAAUCAGAUGGAAACUUGGUUCUUUUAUAACAUACAUGUAUAAUGGGUUAGAUUCUUCUCCUUUUUCAGUGUCAUGUUGCAGAAUGGUAUAUUACUGUUAUCAUAUAAGGUGGGCUAUGCUGUGCAUGGUGGCUUAGUUAUUACGCGCUGAAUAUUUUUGACAAUAAGAGCAUAAAGCAGCACCACCAAAGAGCUAGCUUGCUUAAUUAUUAAGCUGACAUUAACUUAAAACUAGAAUCUACUUUUUUACUACACAUUUGUUAAUGGUUUACAUUAUUUACCUUUUAAAACUCAGAUUCUAAGGUUGCGUCGAAAAUUCCACAGCAUAAUAUAUACGAAAUAUUAAUAUUGUUGUAAAAAGGAUUUGAGAAUCUCACCAUAUAUUGCAUCCUCUGUUUCCAGCUACGGUUUUAAUUUACUUCAACCCCUCGUAAUCAUGAUAUGUAUUAGUAUAAUAACAGGCUAACGUGUUUUUCUACACGAGUGUUUCAUUCUUCUUUUGUUAAAAAGGAAUAGUAAUAAUUAAGAGUUUAUAUGAACAUUCAAGUAUUGUAGAUGAAAAUAACAUGAUUGAAGAAGAAGAAUAGCAUGGUUAUAUAAAUAACAAUAAAGAGUUUAUACUACUAAUUUAUAACUAUAUAUUUGGUUUCCCCUGUUGUUAAAUAUUAGCACAAAUUUAUUCAAGUUUCUCUUUCUCCUUAU
This 1019-nucleotide long non-coding RNA is filed under the name Phaseolus vulgaris (common bean). RNAcentral's name for it is "long non-coding RNA (PVUL_LNC005186)". Lineage: Eukaryota; Viridiplantae; Streptophyta; Magnoliopsida; Fabales; Fabaceae. The record is from RNAcentral.